CAGAGAGUAGUUUAAGGUAAAAUAUUAAUUUUGGAGAUUAAUGAUGGAAUUAAUUCUUUCUUUGA
This 65-nucleotide transfer RNA is filed under the name Blattella parilis. RNAcentral describes it as "tRNA-Pro". It matches the Rfam family "tRNA". From Rfam's summary of the family: Transfer RNA (tRNA) molecules are approximately 80 nucleotides in length. Their secondary structure includes four short double-helical elements and three loops (D, anti-codon, and T loops). The record is from RNAcentral. Lineage: Eukaryota; Metazoa; Arthropoda; Insecta; Blattodea; Blattellidae.